AACGAACGCUGGCGGCAGGCUUAACACAUGCAAGUCGAACGGGUGUAGCAAUACAUCAGUGGCAGACGGGUGAGUAACACGUGGGAACCUUCCUAGGGGUACGGAACAACUCAGGGAAACUUGAGCUAAUACCGUAUACGUCCGUAAGGAGAAAGAUUCAUCGCCCCUAGACGGGCCCGCGUCGGAUUAGGUAGUUGGUGGGGUAACGGCCUACCAAGCCUACGAUCCGUAGCUGAUCUGAGAGGAUGAUCAGCCACACUGGGACUGAGACACGGCCCAGACUCCUACGGGAGGCAGCAGUGGGGAAGUCUUGGACAAUGGGCGGCAAGCCUGAUCCAGCCAUGCCGCGUGAGUGAAGAAGGCCUUAGGGUUGUAAAGCUCUUUUACCAGGGACGAUAAUGACGGUACCUGGAGAAUAA
RNAcentral lists this ribosomal RNA (419 nucleotides) under uncultured bacterium. RNAcentral's name for it is "bacterial SSU rRNA". It matches the Rfam family "Bacterial small subunit ribosomal RNA", at positions 29 to 489 of the family's 1533-position model. The record is from RNAcentral.